CCUACGGGAGCAGCAGUGGGGAAUAUUGGACAAUGGGCGAAAGCCUGAUCCAGCCAUGCCGCGUGUGUGAAGAAGGCCUUCGGGUUGUAAAGCACUUUCAGUGGGGAAGAAAGCCUUGGGGCUAAUACCCUCGAGGAAGGACAUCACCCACAGAAGAAGCACCGGCUAACUCCGUGCCAGCAGCCGCGGUAAUACGGAGGGUGCGAGCGUUAAUCGGAAUUACUGGGCGUAAAGCGCGCGUAGGCGGUCUGAUAAGCCGGUUGUGAAAGCCCCGGGCUCAACCUGGGAACGGCAUCCGGAACUGUCAGGCUAGAGUGCAGGAGAGGAAGGUAGAAUUCCCGGUGUAGCGGUGAAAUGCGUAGAGAUCGGGAGGAAUACCAGUGGCGAAGGCGGCCUUCUGGACUGACACUGACGCUGAGGUGCGAAAGCGUGGGUAGCAAACAGGAUUAGAUACCCCAGUAGUC
RNAcentral lists this ribosomal RNA (464 nucleotides) under Vreelandella stevensii. Its description in RNAcentral is "partial 16S ribosomal RNA". It matches the Rfam family "Bacterial small subunit ribosomal RNA", at positions 338 to 795 of the family's 1533-position model. Lineage: Bacteria; Pseudomonadati; Pseudomonadota; Gammaproteobacteria; Oceanospirillales; Halomonadaceae. The record is from RNAcentral.